CGCGGCCCCGCCGUUCAAGUCAAACAGGCCAAGCCAAGCUCUUGCCUAACGAGCUGCUUCAUGGCGCCUCGUUGGCUCCUCCCGCCGCUCUCCAGCAGCCCCGCGCUCUGUCUUCUGGGUUCUUCCGCUUCUAGACACUUCUGCAAGCCCAGCCCCGCCCCCCCCCCCAUGCGCCUUCUGCGCGCUCAGGCGGUGGCCCCCCUGCUGGGCCCGCUGCAGCCCCGGGGCAAUGCGGGGUUCGGGGCCGGGGCCGGAUGCUCUCUCCCGAGGGGCCGGGGGGGGGUGGGGGGAGCCGACGCCCGAUGCCCGGAGCGUGCAGCUGCGCGGGGCCCUGCGCUCCUCCAGCACGGAAUGAAGCCCUGCAUGAAAGCUAACAUUAAAGUUUUUACGUCGGGCGCCUGGGGGGCUCAGCGGGGGAGCAUGUGCCUCGGGCCCGGGGCGUGACCCCAGGGUCCCGGGAUCGAGUCCCGCAUCGGGCUCCCCGCACGGAGCCUGCCUCUCCCCCUGCCUGUGUCUCUGCCUCUCUGUGUGUCUCUCAUGAAUAAUUUUUUUUAAAUAAAGUUUUUAUGUCUUAAUUUUCAAAGAGGAUCUGUGACUUAUAUAUAUAUAACAUAUAAAUGUUUUAACUAUGCUAAGUUACUAUUUAAGUGGAGCACAAGGUAUCAGAUGGUGAAGUUCAGACAACAGGCCACAAGAGAAGUUAAAACGCAGAGGUUUAUUAUUCACGGGUCACGGGGGAGGUACACACAGCGAGCCCCGAGGGCCUCGCAGGCUGAAGGCAGAGACAGGACCUGGGGCACCUGCCUUUAUUAGGGUCCGCGGGUACAGUGCUUCGACUUCCUGGGCUAAGUGAGGCUGGAUGGGUCAAUUCAAAAGAGUGGGGUUUUGGCAAACCCCGUGGCGCUCUCAUCUAAGGGGCAAGGGGACAUUGAGGCCCCAGGAGGUCGUGGAGACUGUUGACCCAAGGGCUGCUCCCCAGGACGUGCACCUGCUUGAGGGGCGAGGGUCAGUUCAAGGUCCCCGCAGGCCACCUUGCAAACAGGAUG
This 1046-nucleotide long non-coding RNA is filed under the name Canis lupus familiaris (dog). RNAcentral's name for it is "lncRNA (ENSCAFG00000055166.1)". The record is from RNAcentral. Lineage: Eukaryota; Metazoa; Chordata; Mammalia; Carnivora; Canidae.